GACGAACGCUGGCGGCGUGCUUAACACAUGCAAGUCGAACGGAAAGGCCCUGCUUUUGUGGGGUGCUCGAGUGGCGAACGGGUGAGUAACACGUGAGUAACCUGCCCUUGACUUUGGGAUAACUUCAGGAAACUGGGGCUAAUACCGGAUAGGAGCUCCUGCUGCAUGGUGGGGGUUGGAAAGUUUCGGCGGUUGGGGAUGGACUCGCGGCGUAUCAGCUUGUUGGUGGGGUAGUGGCUUACCAAGGCUUUGACGGGUAGCCGGCCUGAGAGGGUGACCGGCCACAUUGGGACUGAGAUACGGCCCAGACUCCUACGGGAGGCAGCAGUGGGGAAUAUUGCACAAUGGGCGGGAGCCUGAUGCAGCAACGCCGCGUGCGGGAUGACGGCCUUCGGGUUGUAAACCGCUUUCGCCUGUGACGAAGCGUGAGUGACGGUAAUGGGUAAAGAAGCACCGGCUAACUACGUG
RNAcentral lists this ribosomal RNA (468 nucleotides) under uncultured bacterium. RNAcentral's name for it is "partial 16S ribosomal RNA". It matches the Rfam family "Bacterial small subunit ribosomal RNA", at positions 28 to 507 of the family's 1533-position model. The record is from RNAcentral.